Molecule: ribosomal RNA, 800 nt
Filed under: uncultured crenarchaeote
Lineage: Archaea; Thermoproteati; Thermoproteota
Description: bacterial SSU rRNA
Rfam family: Archaeal small subunit ribosomal RNA
Source: RNAcentral
ACGGGGAUAACCUCGGGAAACUGAGAAUAAUACCCGAUAGAUCAUUAUGCCUGGAAUGGCUUAUGGUUAAAAUGAAUUUCGCUAUAGGAUGGGACUGCGGUCUAUCAGCUUGUUGGUGAGGUAAUGGCCCACCAAGGCUAUAACAGAUACGGGCUCUGAGAGGAGAAGCCCGGAGAUGGGUACUGAGACACGGACCCAGGUCCUAUGGGGCGCAGCAGGCGAGAAAACUUUGCAAUGUGCGAAAGCACGACAAGGUUAAUCCGAGUGGUUUCUGCUAAAGGAACCUUUUGUUAGUCCUAGAAACACUAACGAAUAAGGGGUGGGCAAGUUCUGGUGUCAGCCGCCGCGGUAAAACCAGCACCUCAAGUGGUCAGGAUGAUUAUUGGGCCUAAAGCAUCCGUAGCCGGCUCUGUAAGUUUUCGGUUAAAUCUGUACGCUUAACGUACAGGCCGCCGGGAAUACUGCAGAGAUAGGGAGUGGGAGAGGUAGACGGUACUCGGGAGGAAGUGGUAAAAUGCUUUGAUCUCUCGAUGACCACCUGUGGCGAAGGCGGUCUACCAGAACACGUCCGACGGUGAGGGAUGAAAGCUGGGGGAGCAAACCGGAUUAGAUACCCGGGUAGUCCCAGCUGUAAACUAUGCAAACUCAGUGAUGCAUUGGCUUGUGGCCAAUGCAGUGUUGCAGGGAAGCCGUUAAGUUUGCCGCCUGGGAAGUACGUACGCAAGUAUGAAACUUAAAGGAAUUGGCGGGGGAGCACCACAAGGGGUGAAGCCUGCGGUUCAAUUGGAGUCAACGCCGGG